Molecule: long non-coding RNA, 1290 nt
Filed under: Salmo salar (Atlantic salmon)
Lineage: Eukaryota; Metazoa; Chordata; Actinopteri; Salmoniformes; Salmonidae
Description: lncRNA (ENSSSAG00000105217.1)
Source: RNAcentral
CUCCAGAUCAGAGGCAGUUGGGAUGACCAGGGAUGUUCUCUGUUUAGUGAGUCCUCCAGAUCAGAGGCAGUAGGGAUGACCAGGGAUGUUCUCUGUUUAGUGAGUCCUCCAGAUCAGAGGCAGUAGGGAUGACCAGGGAUGUUCUCUGUUUAGUGAGUCCUCCAGAUCAGAGGCAGUAGGGAGGACCAGGGAUGUUCUCUGUUUAGUGAGUCCUCCAGAUCAGAGGCAGUAGGGAGGACCAGGGAUGUUCUCUGUUUAGUGAGUCAUCCAGAUCAGAGGCAGUAGGGAUGACCAGGGAUGUUCUCUGUUUAGUGAGUCCUCCAGAUCAGAGGCAGUAGGGAUGACCAGGGAUGUUCUCUGUUUAGUGAGUCCUCCAGAUCAGAGACAGGUGGGAUGACCAGGGAUGUUCUCUGUUUAGUGAGUCCUCCAGAUCAGAGGCAGUAGAGAUUACCAGGGAUGUUCUCUGUUUAGUGAGUCCUCCAGAUCAGAGACAGUAGGGACGACCAGGGAUGUUCUCUUGAUUAUUGCGUGAAUUGGACCAUUUCCUGUCCUGCUAAGCAUUUAAAAUGUAACGAGUACUUUUGGGUGUCAGGGAAAAUGCAUGGAGUAAAAAGUACAUUAUUUUAUUUAGGAAUGUAGUGAAGUAAAAGUAGUCAAACAUAUAAAUAGUAAAGUACAGAUACCCCAAAAAACGAAUUAAGUAGUAAUUGAAAGUAUUUUUACUGAAGUACUUUACACCACUGCCCCAUACCAUAACCCCACCGCCAACAUGCGGCACUCUGUUCACAACGAUGACAUCAUCAAACCGCUCACCCACACAACGCCAUGCACGUGAUCUGCAGUUGUGAGGCCUGUUGGACGUAACGCCAAAUUCUCUAAACUACUUUAGAGGCGGCUUAUGGUAGAGAAAUUAUCAUUUAAUUAUCUGGCAAAAGCUCUGGUGGACAUUCCUGCAGUCAGCAUGCCAAUUUCACGCUCCCUCAAAACUUGAGACAUCUGUUCCAUUGUGUUGUGUGACAAAACUGCACAUUGUAGAGGGGACUUUUAUUGUCCCCGGCACAAGGUUCACCUGUGUAAUAAUCAUGCUGUUUAAUCAUUUUAUUGAUAUGCCACACCUGUCACACCUGUCAGUUAGAUGGAUUAUCUUGGCAAAGGAGAAGUGCUCACUGACAUGGACGACAAACAUGGACAUGGACGUCAAACAUUUGAGAGACAAACAUUUGAGAGAAAAAAGCUUUUUUGUGCGCAUGGAACAUUUCUGGGAUCUUUUAUUUCAGCUCAUGAAACAUG